GAACGCUGGCGGCGUGCUUAACACAUGCAAGUCGAACGAUGAACCACUUCGGUGGGGAUUAGUGGCGAACGGGUGAGUAACACGUGGGCAAUCUGCCCUUCACUCUGGGACAAGCCCUGGAAACGGGGUCUAAUACCGGAUGACACUCCUACUCGCAUGGGUGGGGGUUGAAAGCUCCGGCGGUGAAGGAUGAGCCCGCGGCCUAUCAGCUUGUUGGUGAGGUAGUGGCUCACCAAGGCGACGACGGGUAGCCGGCCUGAGAGGGCGACCGGCCACACUGGGACUGAGACACGGCCCAGACUCCUACGGGAGGCAGCAGUGGGGAAUAUUGCACAAUGGGCGAAAGCCUGAUGCAGCGACGCCGCGUGAGGGAUGACGGCCUUCGGGUUGUAAACCUCUUUCAGCAGGGAAGAAGCGAAAGUGACGGUACCUGCAGAAGAAGCGCCGGCUAACUACGUGCCAGCAGCCGCGGUAAUACGUAGGGCGCAAGCGUUGUCCGGAAUUAUUGGGCGUAAAGAGCUCGUAGGCGGUCUGUCGCGUCGGAUGUGAAAGCCCGGGGCUUAACCCCGGGUCUGCAUUCGAUACGGGCAGACUAGAGUGUGGUAGGGGAGAUCGGAAUUCCUGGUGUAGCGGUGAAAUGCGCAGAUAUCAGGAGGAACACC
RNAcentral lists this ribosomal RNA (662 nucleotides) under Streptomyces sp. DA1(2010). RNAcentral describes it as "bacterial SSU rRNA". It matches the Rfam family "Bacterial small subunit ribosomal RNA", at positions 31 to 710 of the family's 1533-position model. The record is from RNAcentral. Lineage: Bacteria; Bacillati; Actinomycetota; Actinomycetes; Kitasatosporales; Streptomycetaceae.